Pongo pygmaeus (Bornean orangutan) is the source of this 565-nucleotide long non-coding RNA. RefSeq lists it as uncharacterized. The transcript is spliced from 2 exons. Lineage: Eukaryota; Metazoa; Chordata; Mammalia; Primates; Hominidae. The record is from RefSeq and is a predicted model, not a curated record.
UCAAUAAUAUUCUGUAUUGAAUAAACAGAGAGUAAAUUUGCAAGGAAAUGAGAGAAUGUUGGUGAUAUGGUUUGGCUAUGUGUCCUCACUCAAAUCUCAACUCAAAUUUUAAACCCCAUGCACAUGUCGAGGGAGGAUCCUGGUGGGAGGUGAUUGGCUCAUGGAAUCUAUUUCCCUGAUGCUGUUCCCGAUGCUGUUCUUGUGACAGUGAGGGAUUUCUCACAAGAUCUGAUGGUUUAAACGUGGCAGUUUCCCCUGAGGUCUCCUUCCUGCUGGUAUGUAAGGCGUGCCUUGCUUCCCCUUCACCUUCCGCCAUUGUACAUUUCCUGAGGCCUCCGCAGCCACACAGAACUGCAUACAACUCAGGAUUCAUAACUACAUAUAUACGGAUAGAAGUGCAUGAACAGAAAAUCUGCUCUUCUAGAAUACCAAAUGCAAAAUUAAAGUCACUACAAGCAGAAUUUGGAGAAAACAAAUAAAAGAUGCAAUAUAGUUUUUAAAAUCAUUGUUAAAAUAUAAUGAGUCUGUACUUUGCUUAAACAAUAAAAAAUGUCUUUGAUUUAUA